CGGUUAUUUGCCUCACCAGCGGCGAGUGAAGCGGCAAGAGCUCAGAUUUGAAAUCGUGCUUUGCGGCACGAGUUGUAGAUUGCAGGUUGGAGUCUGUGUGGAAGGCGGUGUCCAAGUCCCUUGGAACAGGGCGCCCAGGAGGGUGAGAGCCCCGUGGGAUGCCGGCGGAAGCAGUGAGGCCCUUCUGACGAGUCGAGUUGUUUGGGAAUGCAGCUCCAAGCGGGUGGUAAAUUCCAUCUAAGGCUAAAUACUGGCGAGAGACCGAUAGCGAACAAGUACUGUGAAGGAAAGAUGAAAAGCACUUUGAAAAGAGAGUGAAACAGCACGUGAAAUUGUUGAAAGGGAAGGGUAUUGCGCCCGACAUGGGGAUUGCGCACCGCUGCCUCUCGUGGGCGGCGCUCUGGGCUUUCCCUGGGCCAGCAUCGGUUCUUGCUGCAGGAGAAGGGGUUCUGGAACGUGGCUCUUCGGAGUGUUAUAGCCAGGGCCAGAUGCUGCGUGCGGGGACCGAGGACUGCGGCCGUGUAGGUCACGGAUGCUGGCAGAACGGCGCAACACCGCCCGUCUUGAAACACCCGGGAACAUUGU
Molecule: ribosomal RNA, 585 nt
Filed under: Pichia kudriavzevii
Lineage: Eukaryota; Fungi; Ascomycota; Pichiomycetes; Pichiales; Pichiaceae
Description: eukaryotic LSU rRNA
Rfam family: Eukaryotic large subunit ribosomal RNA
Source: RNAcentral